CUUUAUUUGAAAUUUAGCAAGGGAAAAUUGUUUGAAAUUAGUGGAAUUUGGUUUUGGAAUUGAUGGAGCUGCUGAUUGCAGCAUAUUGGUGUUAACAGGGGAUUGAGACAAGCAAUCGGAUGGGUUCUAGGGUUGUAAACAAUUAUUUUUGGGUUAUCUUCCUUUUCCAAAUUCGGGCCCAUCCCUUCCGUGCUUUGUUAUUUGGAACUUUGCAGUCUAGUUGUUGGGCAACCUCUAUAACACAGUCCCGAGCAACUAAAUUUUAGUAACAUUUCUUCCACUAUAAUCCCUUGAAUCAACCCAUUAACCAAGCACUUCCCACCACCACCUACAUCACGCUCCGCAGCAGCAGCAGUAACAGACCUGGAUCGAAGAUCACCAUCUUCUUUCAUUGCGCCUCAUUGCCUCAUUCUCAUCUGCUCCGGGAAAUUUUGCACAGUUGGAGUUAAAAUCUCAGGGUCCCGCGUGUAAUCUUUCUCUAUUUCCUCUGAUUUCUAUGCUGAAAUCUUCUCGAAAAUAUUAGCCUCCGACAAUAGAUUAUUGGAGAAGAUCCUCUCCAAGCGGUACAGCCACCUGUCUGAGUUAUCUUCACUAAAUAUUGGUAACUUAAACUUCCUUAUUAGUCUCCAGAUGUUUCCCUCUUGAUAUUUCCUAGUUUCCCCAGUUUCUUCUGUCAUUUUGCCUCGGUCUCACUACUGCUGAUCUCCCACGGGUCCCUUGUGAACAUUAGGUGGUGACUGAACCUCCAAAACACUUCCAGAUCUAUCUCCCUCCAUAGCUUUAUUCAUGGUUGCUUUUGGAAAAAUAAGAGUUGCCAAAGUUUUCUGUGUAUCUUCCAUGGAUUGCAGCAUCUUUGUCAUGCUCUGUUUGAGGUGUUCCACUGAGAUCUCUAGGCCUGGUAAGCGUUUGAGCUCAAAUUUCAAUUCCUUUAGCGUCUUCCCCAUUACUUCCACUCUGAUUUCUAUCUUCUUUUGGGCCAUAAGAUUGACGUGCUUUGAUACCAUUUUGUUAGGAAUCUAACUGUAAUUAGAAAGUAUUGCUAUAAGAAUCAAGUGCCAGCAGUAUAUUGAUGUAAUUAAAAGAGAAUACAGCAAUGAAAGAAAUAACAAAUAGCCUUUUGAGACGGCUAGAAAUAACAAAGGCUCUAUUGAGAGGGCUACUACUCUCCUAUUCCAUACUUCUACUCAAUAAUUUUUUUGCCUGCCUCAGUCCUUCCUGCUCGCUCGAUAUUUAUAGACCUCUUGUAACUAAUCUGUCCACGUCAGCGUGCCAUGUUAACGGAAUCUUGUUGCUGCCAACUUCUCCUCAACCCUUCCUGGCCCAUCUAGAAUAAGUGUACUUGAUUGGAGGCUUAUCAAAAUAUUUAUGCCACACAGUGUCGCGGGCUUUGCAUGUGUGUCACACUAGUUCCUUUAAAAGAGGCAAUAUCAAAGAACUGUUCAUCUGCGAGUUCCCUCUCCCACUUUACUCCUCCACUGUUCAUUUAUGAGUUCUCCAUCUCACACACAAUCCGAAUAAAUUACUGUUCACAAUCGAGUUUUUCUUUGUUCUAAUAGUGUUCACUAAAUAUCUCAUCACCUAACCUUUGCAAUUACUUUUUCCUUUCCCAAACACUUCUACUCUUGUUUUCCCUUUCAAGAGCACUCCCAAUUUCUAGACGUUGUAUUUGUCAUGAUUUCUUGGUUACCAACCUUAGAUUUGUUACGGUUUCUUCACUUCAAUUGUUGAAUCUGCUUUUAUUUUAUUUUGUUUGUCUGAGCUUUUGAGAAAUCGAAUACAAGAUAGCUUAAGUAUGUUCCUUUGAUGUUCUUGUUGUGUAUUAUUUGUUCAAUUUGUUGCUAUUGUCUAUAUUUUUUUCGUUCUCUCAGCAUUUUUCUAUUGUCAGUUCCAAGUUCCAACUCUUCGAAGUACAAAAUGGAGGGUAGUGGUGCUACUAGUGACGCAUAGGGGACUGUUUUCUGAUGCGUACAAUGGAGGAUGGUGCUUUUAUAGAGUAUGAUUCUUUUUUCUUAUUUAACUUUGUUCACUUCUAUACCGCAUAUAUACUAGGAAAGGCCAGAAAGAUUACUUCCCUCUACAGCGACGUCCAUUCGGCAACGAUCAUAGAUGUAGAGCAGUGCAAAGCUUGCCAUAGCUAAAAUUUACAGGUAAAUAAUGAAUUGUGCACGUAGGUUUCUUGAAUUUUUGCUGCUUGGUUCAUAUGUCUAUAAUCUAAAAUUUAAGAGAGCAAUUGAAAUUUGUAUGGUGCUUUUGCCAUAUAUGAUGUGUAUAUCUUUAAUCCAUAUUUAAGUAUUUCUUACAUUUUGAAUAUUGUUUCAAAAUUCUAAAAAGAGGCUGAAAAUAUGGACGAAGAGAAAAAUGAGAUGAUUAAAAUAAUCUGUUGUUAGUGGAUAAGUAUUUGGCUGCUGGCCCAAAUAGUGAUUUGGAGUACAUUGAGGAUUUUGAGUUCUAGGAAUUUGAUUUUGUUAGGAGUGAGAGGAUGGUAAGAUCAAAGUUUUUAGGUUGGAUGAUAACAAAUGAAAAAUGGGUCGAAGUGACUAAUUUGGGUGAGAUGUUGUUCUUGGAAUUGUACAUGGAGCUUCUGCUUCGGAGAUGUUUGGGUAUAAUGAGUGUAAAGGUAAUUCUAUAUUUUUUUUACAGAUGAGUUCUUUCGUGGCAGGGAAGAUGAUUGGGAAUGGAAGAGUCGCAGUAUCGGAGUGUUUUAUUUAGAGAGUGGGAGUAUUGAGCCAAUUGAUAGUCAUGAUGGUUAUUCCCAUAUGUUUUCGUUGCCACCUGCUUGGGUUUGUUCGAAUUUGUUAUGUUGAGGAAUUUAUAUGUUUUUCCUUUUCGUUUUUUGGGCGAAAUAUGUUUUACAUAUACAUUCCAGUUAGUCAUUCCUGGUCAUAUUUUAUUUCUGGUUGCUGACUAUAAUUUUUC
This 2916-nucleotide long non-coding RNA is filed under the name Olea europaea subsp. europaea. Lineage: Eukaryota; Viridiplantae; Streptophyta; Magnoliopsida; Lamiales; Oleaceae. The record is from RNAcentral.